ACCCCAUUCCCUUCCCCAUCUGAAACAGAAAUACACCCUCACUCACAAUGCAGUUCAAAUCGGCGUUCGCUCGGUCGAUCUCCGAUCUCUUCAACGAGUCCGAUUUCCACAAGAAAACUCCCCAAUCUCCUUCUGCAACUAUAAACCCUAUAUACCCACAAAGUUUGGGAUAAGUAUAUCUUAGCCCACCUAACUUUGAUUAUUCGGUUCCGGCUGCCAUGAGAGGUGGUGACAGUACCAAAAGAGUCUACUCUAGAAAAUCCUAGUCGACCUUGGGAGCAGUACCGGCCUCUGAACUGAUGAAUAUUGAAAUUGAUGAUCUCCCGGAUGUUGUGUUGGUUAAAAUUCUUUGUCGGCUUCCAUGCUAUAAGUUUGUUUCAAAAUGCAAGUCCGUGUCCAAGCGUUGGUGCAAUGUCAUGUCCGGUCCUUAUUUUCUUGCCCGCUUUCUACGUCUCCAGAGUGAUCGUGAGCAAACACCAAUAAUUCGUACUCUGAUAACCAACAAACGGGAGGAGUUCCUUACUAGAAUGUCAUCGUCCACCAAGCCGCUAGCUCUGUUGUUUGAAAGACUCAUGAGUUCCCACCAUUUGGAACAAGAGCCGGUAGUGGUAGCUACGUAUAAUGACUUAGUUUUGUGCUGUACAACGUGGGGCUAUUAUCAACGUGAUUACUACAUCUGCAAUCCGUGCACAGUUCAGUGGGUUCCUGUUCCUCCCCCUCCUCGUGUUUACCGUAUACACCAGUGGGAUUCAUAUGCGAUCUUCCCUACUAUAACUGUACAAAAGAUGAUCAGGGAGGAAGUUUCAUUCAGGUCAAUGCUGAGUAUAGGUGCAGGAUAGUGAGAUUAAUUCUUCGUAAGAGAUCUGUCUGCAAACUCAAAGUGCAAAUCUUCUCCUCUGAUACCGGUGAAUGGAAAACGUCAACUAUAUCAAUUCCAUCAGGUUUUAUUUCUGACACCGUCCCUCUAGAGAGGAGCUUCAGUUACAAUGGCAUGCUGUAUUUUGUGGGUGAUGAACCUGGUGAUCAAAAUUUUCUUUUGGGGUUGGAUCCAUUCAUGAUCAACAAUAGUAACAGUGCUCUUAGUUUAUCUAGUACUAGCCGUAAUAGUACUAAUGGUGAUGAUAUCAUUGAUGGCUAUAAAUGUCGUUUCAUUCGAUUUGAUGAUCCAGACUCUUUUCUACUUCGGUAUCUUGGUGAAUACAGAGGGUGUCUGCACAUGUGCGACUAUCAUGAUCAUACCUGUACGUUUUUUUUCCGGGAGUUGAAAGAAGAAGAAAUGCACGGAGGAGCUGGCAAAUUAUGUUUGGAAGGCAUGAUGAAGGAUUAUUCACCGGACAUAAAAAUGGUUCCGGGUUAUGAUAUUGUUUAUUUACAAUUUUUAGACCCCAAUAACGAGGAUAUUUUAUAUAUGUACAUUCGUAAAGACAUUGUCAGGUACAACAUUCGAACAAGAGAUUGGUUAAAGCUGGUUGAAAACAUUCCCUAUGGGAAUUCUUUUCUCUUUCCAAUUGUGCUCACUUGG
Rosa chinensis is the source of this 1522-nucleotide long non-coding RNA. RefSeq lists it as uncharacterized. NCBI's taxonomy places the organism in Eukaryota, Viridiplantae, Streptophyta, Magnoliopsida, Rosales, Rosaceae. The transcript has 2 exons. The record is from RefSeq and is a predicted model, not a curated record.